CCAGCUGUAGCGACUCUUCAAACAUAGUUACUGAUUAACAAAACUUGACUUAGAGGCAGAAAUGAAAAUUUUAUGCAACUAGUUGGCUUAGGUUCACUUGUAUACUGUUUUAACAAGUAAAAAAAAAAAAAAGAAAGAAAAGAAAUAUGGGGAGAGGGAGGAACCCUGUGACUAUCAUUCUCCUUCCCUUUUAUCCUGCUUCUGAGGCUAAGGACUCUUCUUAAUUUCUCCUGUCAGAAAGGAAAGCAAUUUUGCCUUGAAACAGGUGUUAUGCCCAGAAUUCGUGAUCCCCAAAGACCACUAGGGAGCCGAGUCCGAUGCAAAAGCAAAGAGCCUUUAUUCGAGCUAGCUCGAGCUCAAUCCCCUACCUGCACCGACGCAGCGGUGAGAUACCAGGGAAAGAGCCCGAGUUUCAAAAAGGACAAAGGUUUUAUUGGGGCCUGGGGGCAGUUGGUGAGGUAAUGGCUGUGGCCUCAGCUGAUUGGCUGGGGAGGGGUCCUGGGGAAGGGUCUGGCAGGUGAGGGAGGGUUUACUCAAGGGGAGGAGGUGUGGUCAAGGUGAAGGACACAGAACAAGAUGGCGAGGGGAGGAGGUGUGGUCAAGGUGAAGGACACAGAACAAGAUGGCGAGGGGAGGAGGUGUGGUCAAGGUGAAGGACACAGAACAAGAUGGCGAGGGGAGGAGGUGUGGUCAA
RNAcentral lists this long non-coding RNA (694 nucleotides) under Felis catus (domestic cat). RNAcentral describes it as "lncRNA (ENSFCAG00000048875.1)". Lineage: Eukaryota; Metazoa; Chordata; Mammalia; Carnivora; Felidae. The record is from RNAcentral.